This 790-nucleotide ribosomal RNA is filed under the name uncultured bacterium. RNAcentral describes it as "bacterial SSU rRNA". It matches the Rfam family "Bacterial small subunit ribosomal RNA", at positions 8 to 796 of the family's 1533-position model. The record is from RNAcentral.
AGAGUUUGAUCAUGGCUCAGAUUGAACGCUGGCGGCAUGCCUUACACAUGCAAGUCGAACGCGAAAGGGGGCAACCCCGAGUAGAGUGGCGAACGGGUGAGCAAUACAUCGGAACGUGUCCUGUAGCGGGGGACAACACAUCGAAAGAUGUGCUAAUACCGCAUACGAUCUACGGAUGAAAGUGGGGGACCGCAAGGCCCCACACUAUAGGAGCGGCCGAUGCCGGAUUAGCUUGUUGGCGGGGUAAAAGCCCACCAAGGCGACGAUCCGUAGCUGGUUUGAGAGAACGACCAGCCACACUGGGACUGAGACACGGCCCAGACUCCUACGGGAGGCAGCAGUGGGGAAUUUUGGACAAUGGGCGCAAGCCUGAUCCAGCCAUGCCGCGUGAGUGAAGAAGGCCUUCGGGUUGUAAAGCUCUUUCGGCCGGGACGAAAUGGCGCGGGGUAAUAUCCCGCGUCGAUGACGGUACCGGAAGAAGAAGGACCGGCUAACUACGUGCCAGCAGCCGCGGUAAUACGUAGGGUCCAAGCGUUAAUCGGAAUUACUGGGCGUAAAGCGUGUGCAGGCGGUUUCGAAAGUCCGAUGUGAAAUCCCCGGGCUUAACCUGGGAACUGCGUUGGAAACUACGAGGCUAGAGUGCGGCAGAGGGGGGUGGAAUUCCAGGUGUAGCAGUGAAAUGCGUAGAUAUCUGGAGGAACACCGAUGGCGAAGGCAGCCCCCUGGGUUAGCACUGACGCUCAUACACGAAAGCGUGGGGAGCAAACAGGAUUAGAUACCCUAGUAGUCC